This 2919-nucleotide long non-coding RNA is filed under the name Elaeis guineensis (African oil palm). RNAcentral's name for it is "long non-coding RNA (EGUI_LNC001351)". Lineage: Eukaryota; Viridiplantae; Streptophyta; Magnoliopsida; Arecales; Arecaceae. The record is from RNAcentral.
UUUGCUAUUUACCGGAUACUUGCCGAUGGAAUGAUUAAAUGAUUAAUGAGAGGGAAGCAAGCAAACCCUGAAGGCAAAGCUUUACGCUCCCGAGGGCCAACCAGACUGUAGUUGAUACAUAAUGGAAUAUCUAAAUAAAUGAUCUGUAACAUUCACAGUGAUCUAAAAGAUACUAUGUUUGGAAACAAAAUUGUGCUUAAUCCAUGUCCAGAACUGUUCAAGCCACCUGAUUUUCAGCCUACAUCAUUGCCUUCCAUCGCCAAGUUAUGCUCUAUGAACAGAGUCCCUGAAAGAGGAAAAGAGCGUCAUGACGGUACCAACUUGGUUAUGUGAUUGUAUCAGAACUGAAAGCAAGAAUUGCACUUCGUAAAAAUAAUAUCACUCCAGCAAACAAAAGCAGUAGCAUCUCAGUAGCAUCAAACCAGGCAAGGUCCGCAUGAACUUCCAUAAUGGAUAGGAAAACCAAACAUAAAACACAUCGCCAACUAUCAUAGUGGAACAUCAUUCUCUUAAAAUUUGAUGAGAACCAAUGUGAUGCCCAGGAAAUGGUAGAAUUAUGGUGUCCGCAGUAUUCACCUUUUGUUUCUCGUCAGCCACUUUGAUCACUAUAACCACCCUGAUUCUAUAUGUUUAUUCUACAAUAGCGGAAUCAUGAUAAGUGCAAUUGAAUAAGCAGCAACAUAGAACACCAGGAUCGGUCAACAGUAGCUUGCAAAAUAAAAAACAAAACUACAAUUAAAAACUUAAUAAGCAACAAAUGGUAGCCGGUGCUAGAAUAAUAUAAUCCAACACAAUUGAUUGUUCACCUUUUACUAGUAAACUGGCACAGAAAAGCCAAUGUUAAAAGAAAAAAGACAAUCUUUUAAGGUAUAAUUUAUCUUGUUAUGGUUAUUUUUAGUCAAUUGGAUAGCAAAAUUCCAUCAAAAUCUUUAAGCUAAAUAUACCUUUUUUUUUGGUAAGAAGCUAAAUAUACCUUUAACCACCAUAAGAUCAACAUGAUAUGUUAAAAAAAGAUUGAAAGAGCAACAAAUCACCAUAAUUAUCUAUUGGAGUCCUAAUUUGCCAUCUGCAGUGAGACAUAGAUAUGAAAGAUAGGCAUUGAUGUAAAAUGGAUAAAUCUAAUUAUUCCUGUUCAAGCACAUCACUUCAGCAUCUUGGAAGAAAAUAAGAAGGAUUUAAUGGAGCAACAGGCACAAUGAGAGAGCACUGCUCAUCCACAAGUGUAGUGAUUCAACAAUGAAAAUCACAUCGAACAUCUGCAUUAAAUAAAGUUAAUAACAAAGUCAGACCUCAUGACACAUGAAUCACAGGCUCGAACACUAACUAGAAAUACCGAAUCAAACUAUCAUAAAAGCCUGCACAUGUAUAUCAGCCACAAAGAUAAAGCAGACAGUGGAAAUUGCAAUAAAUAGCUGCAUCCACAAGCAAGUUAGAUGAAGCCUGUGGAAGAAUCACAAUGCACCGUCUGAUAAAUACCAAGUAUUUGCUUCAAUCACCAGCCAAAAAUACCAAAUCUUUCAGAGAAGUAUCAGCAAAACAAACGGAAGCAAAAAUUAAAGUACAAAAUGCUUAUGGCCACGCAUUAGAAAUACAAAAUGCUUAUAGCCACAUUCUCUUGUCCACCAUACCGCUUACAUCUCUUCACAAGCCAAAUGAUUCCAUAACAAAAGAACGAAUAGAUAAAACCCCAUUCAAACCGAUAAGUUAAACUCCAAAUCCCCCUCAAACCAAGAAAAACAACAGGAAACAUGUUAAAAAAUAAUUCCAAUCACCAUUGAUGGUGUAAAAAAUAUGAUUCAAAUAAAAAAAAUCAAACAGUUUCAAAAGAUCGAAAAGAAACAUCCUUUUAAAAAUACCAGUUGUAAACCAAGGGUAAAACAGAGAAUAAUGUGAAAGACAUAUCAACAGGAAAGUAGAACCACCUCAAUCACUAAAAGAAUAUCUCAAAGAGACGAGAUACUUCUUCAAGUCUGAUCCCUGCACAACAGUUGUCUACAUGUGAUAAAGAUAAAGGGGAGUUCAAACUCCACAAUAAUUCAAACACCGUUAGACAUGUUAACAAUUCGAUCGAAAUAAACUACGAGAUUCUCAUAAAAUCAUAGGACAGUUAGUUCUAUCAACCUGUUCAUAAGGAAAUGAUCUAACACCAUCAAUGGAAAUUGGCAUGAAAACAAACUCUGAAAAUUAAAAUAAAUCAUCAAAACCUCCUAAGAUUUAAUAAAUCACACAGGGCAAGUCCUAGAACCAGAUGAUCAUCAGAAACUAGAACUUGACAAAUCACAGCUAUGAUAAGAAAUAACAACACCAUACAACCUUAAUACCGGACUAGAAAUUCAGAACCAACCAAACCCGUACUCGAAACCAAGAACCAUCACUGGAAUCCAAAAAACACCGAGACCAAACAAGAAAUCAAGAACACAUAACCCUAAAACCAGAAUAGAAAACAAGAACCAACUAAAACCGAAGCGGAAACCAACCACCAUCUCAGGAAUCCAAAGAAUGCCGAAAUCAAAAUAGAAAACAAGAAACGAGUAAUCAAGAAACGCAUCAAGAAUGCAAACGAAAGGAAGAAAAGAUACGAAAGAGGGGACGGAUCGCUUGCCUCCUCGUCGUCGUUCUCGUCUUCCAGCGGUGGCGGAGUUUGGUAGCGGGAUCAACGCUCCAGGGACGCGACGCGAAGAAGAAGGCCGACCCAGGUUUGUAACGGCUCGGCUCGUCAUCUCUUCAAGCCUCUCGCACGAAAAAGAGCUCAAGUUCUCCAACCUCAGGGCGGUCCCAUCGCAGGAUCCCGAAGGAUCGCUGAAAGGGAAGGGGAGAGAGCGGGAGGGCGGGUUGAAGUCCCCCAGGGAAGGAGUAAAUGUUCGUUGCUACGGUGCCUCCCAGGGAAGAGGGUUCAUCUCGGUUACCCUCACCUCCACG